This is an RNA transcript of Syngnathus typhle (broad-nosed pipefish), 5568 nucleotides long. It is a transcript of the gene named baculoviral IAP repeat containing 2, with no coding region annotated. The transcript has 22 exons. Lineage: Eukaryota; Metazoa; Chordata; Actinopteri; Syngnathiformes; Syngnathidae. The record is from RefSeq and is a predicted model, not a curated record.
UUUAAUUGGCACUCGUUUUUUGGGAUAGUGUAUUUGAAAAACAUGAUCGUUGAUUUCACUUUCGCUCGAACCCGGAAGUGGCCUAGCUAGCUUGUCUGAUAGCAGCUCGAUGCUAUCGGGACUUUCCGCAGCCUGACUCAUAGACGUAGCCCGCGGUGCUGAAGGAGGGGGGAGAGGUUUGAGAUAUAUUUUUUUUAUAUAUAUCUACAUAUAUAGCUAUAUAUGUAGAUAUAUAGAUUUUUUUUUUCUUUGCUCAUCGGAACCAUUUUGUUUAAUUGAGGAUGGAAAGACGCACUGCACCGGCUUUUGGCUCAUCAGUUACAUUUUUGCUGACUGCUCUUUCUGAGUGAGCCAUUUCAAACAUCUUCCUCUCACGAGGGGCACCUCCAACUGCCUACUUGUCUUGUUCAUCCCCAAAACCAUGGACACUCUGGUUCAACUGAAGAACAAUCAAUUUUUGAUGAGCCUCUGUCGCAGCGGACCCCCGCCUGACCUGCAGUAUGACAACUCCUCAGAACUCUUCCGCAUCUCCACCUUCGCCCGCUUCCCGGCGUCGGCCGUCAGUGAGCGCAGCCUUGCGCGCGCCGGCUGGUUCUACACAGGCGUGGGGGACCGCGUGCAGUGCUUCCGCUGCAACGUGACGGCCGAGGGCUGGCUGGCGGGCGAUUGUCCCGCCGAGAAGCACCGGCAGCUGUCGCCGUCCUGCCCCUUUGUGCAGAGUCUGCCGUCAGCCGCCAACCUGCUCUCCUCCUCGCACUCAGCCUUCUCGCCUCUCCGUGUCGCCACCAUCGUACCGCUUCCUGGUCCAGCCGCACCGAACCCAGCGGCAGGUCCAGGCGAGGAGCCGGCGGGCUACCUGAACAUGGGCUUCUCGGGGCCGCCGCCGCCUUCUAGCCCGCUGAGCUCCCGCGGCGUGGAGGACAUGUCGCACCAGCGGCCCGCCUGCCACAACCCGGCCAUGCGGCGUGAGCAGGAUCGCCUGGACUCGUUCCACACAUGGACGCUGUCCACCAUCACGCCGGCUGAGCUGGCCAAGGCCGGCUUCUACUUCCUCGGGCUAGGCGACCACGUGGCCUGUUUCAGCUGCGGCGGCCAGCUGAGCAACUGGGAGCCGGGCGAUCGCGCCUCGUCGGAGCACCAGCGCCACUACCCCAACUGCCGCUUUGUGCGAGGCGACCGCACCGACAACGUGUCACUGGCAGGGCCGGCGCCGCCCUUGUCGUCGUCAUCCUCGCAGUUGUCGUCCGCCGCCCUCAACAACGUGUCCAACCCGUCCAUGCGGCAGAGUGACGAGCGCCUGCUCACCUUUGUCAACUGGCCCACGCGCAUCCCCGUCAGGCCCGAACAGCUGGCCAAAGCCGGAUUCUACUAUGUCGGUCGCAAUGAUGACGUGAAGUGCUUCUGCUGUGAUGGUGGUUUGCGCUGCUGGGAGUCAGGAGACGAUCCCUGGGUGGAACAUGCAAAAUGGUUUCCACGGUGUGAAUAUUUGCUGCAGGAGAAAGGUCAAGAAUUUGUGCAUCAGAUUCAGGCGCGCUUCCCUCGACUUUUUGAGCAGCUUCUGACAAACGGAGACAGCAGCUCCAGAGAGUUUGUGGAUCCACCAGUUGUGCAUCUGGGCCCGGGCGACGAGCGUUGCGAGGACGCGGUGAUGAUGAACACGCCGGUCGUCAAGUCGGCCCUGGAAAUGGGCUUCGAGCGUAGCCUGGUCAAGCAGACGGUGCAGAGCAAGAUCCUCAGCAGCGGUGAGAACUACCGCACCGUCCAAGAACUGGUCUCGGACCUGCUCAGCGCCGAGGAUCAGAAGAGGGAGGAGGAGCGAGAGAUGAUGGCCGAGGCUAUGGCGUCGGACGGUUUCACGUUUGUCAAGCGACACCAGGCGGCUCUGGUGCAGCGGCUCAAGAGCGUGGAGCCUGUCUUGGAACAUCUCAGAGAGCAAAAUGUGCUAAGCGCCGAGGAAUACAACGGGCUUCAGGCGCAGACGUCGCCGCAGCAGCAGACGGCUCGUCUCAUCGAGCUGGUCCUCACUAAAGGCAACGCGGCCGCAGAGGUUUUUCGCAACUGGAUCCAAAAGAACGACGUGCAUCUGCUCAGAGAGCUCAUGGCUCAGUCCAACGAAGCAGCAUCUCCUAGCCAAGACCUGUCAGGUCUUCCCAUGGAGGAGCAACUGCGGCGUCUCCAGGAGGAGCGAACGUGCAAAGUGUGCAUGGACAAGGAGGUCAACAUCGUCUUCAUCCCGUGCGGACACCUGGUGGUGUGCAAAGACUGCGCCCCGUCCCUACGCAAGUGUCCCAUCUGUCGAGGCUUGGUCAAAGGCACGGUACUAUUUCAGACAGAACAACAAACGUGGAGGACAGACCGGGGCAAGUUGGGGCAUUUCUCCACUGGCUGAACGACGACGGAACGUUGGUUAAGGCGAACCGCCACCGAGUUACCCUCUCGACAUAGUGUGAAGAUAUCAUCCAUGUUUACACUGGGCUGCUUCUUGAAAUCCCGUUUGGAGUCUGGGACGUGCAGCUUUAAAUGCGGAAGCAUCUCUUUCUUAUUUGUUCAAAGACUCCGCAUCGACUGUUCUCGCUAUCGACCGCGCACGCAGCAGACGGAGUCGUCCUAAUUGGAUCCCGCGUUUGUGGAAGAGCUUUCACGCGUUCGGGAGGCGGCGGCCCGUAACGAGACUCGCAUUAACAGGCGAGCCUUUGAGCCCGUCACAUCACGUCCGAGCGCAUCACGUUCCACAGCCCUGGUCCGUGUUUUCACUCGGAGUGUCCUACGGGCAUCCGGGCGCCGCACCUGUCGGAGAAUUCGUGUCAGUGAACAUCAACCGAGAGCGGCGGCAGUCAAGCGUGAUUUUGUCCAAUGGGAGGAGUCCUUAAGAUGCUACAUCACACGCAGCACGCGAGCAGCCAGCCAUGUUUGCUAACACGUGGUCCGCGUGACAGCGCUUGCCCGCCUUUCUGCUUGCGUGCAUGGAAAAUGCUUUCAUGGCACGUUUUCCAAAGUUUUACAGAGAGAGAAAAAUGUCACCUCGAAGCCAGAUGAGAUUAGCGGCAAACAUCACUUGAAGUCAACCUGGCGGUUAAAGUUCACCCAAAUUCGAGACAAGAGGUGUUGGAUGGAACCGAUGAUGAACUGAGUCACCUCCUUAUUCUUCGGCGAGCUCUACGACAAUGAGUCAUUUCAUCUACUACUGAGGAAUUUCAAUUCCUCCCUGUCACACCUCAAGAGUGCUGAAGUGGCUGCCGACAGAAAAGGACACAUGGAGCGCUUGGCCAGGCGGGCAUCAAUCAAUGCUGUCAAUGCAGAAUCAUAAGAGAUGCUCAAGGCUUCAUUCGCCUUCCGACAGUUCUGCUUCAUAUCUGGCAACCUAGGACUCAAGAUAGUGACACCAUCGUCCCGUCAUGUUUCAAGGCUGCCACCAUCGUACCUGUGCCGAAGAAACCCGCUCCGUCCUGCUUCAAUGACUACCGCCCCGUGGCACUUACGCCCAUCAUCAUGAAGUGCUUUGAGCAGCUUGUCAUGGAGCACAUCCGAUCCGUUCUCCCCCCCACCAUUGACCCCUUCCAGUUUGCGUACCGAGCCAAACGGUCCUCUGAGGAUGCCAUCUGCUCUUCACCCUCCUGACGCAUGACUGCACUGCAACCUACAGCGACAACCGUAUAGUGAAGUUUGCUGACGACACGACUCUGGUGGGUCUCAUCACCAAGGGAGACGAGACUCAAUACAGGCUGGAGGUUGACCUUCUGACCACGUGGUGCAGGGACAACAACGUCCUGCUGAACGUCGACAAGACCAAGGAGAUUGUUGUGGACUUCCGGAAGGGUCACACCCAACACCUGCCGCUGACCAUCGACUGUGCUGUGGUGGAGAGAGUGAGCAGCGCCAAGUUCCUGGGGGUGCACAUCAGUGAGGAUCUCUCCUGGUCCACCAACACCGCAUCACUGACAAAGAAAGCCCAGCGCUGCCUGUACUUCCUGCGGAAACUCAGGCGAGCGAGCGCCCCUCCGGCCGUCAUGACUACAUUUUAUUGCGGCACCAUUGAGAGCGUCCUCUCCAGCUGUAUUGCUGUUUGGGGUGGCGGCUGCACUGACUACAACUUGAAGGCCCUGCAGCGCAUAGUGAACACGGCUGGUAAGAUUGCUGGUGCUUCGCUCCCCUCCUUGAAGGACAUUUACACCUCCCAUCUCACCCGCAAGGCGACCACGAUUGUGAGUGAUGUGAGUCACCCCGCUCACUCUUUGUUCGAGCUUCUGCCCUCUGGGAAGAGGUACAGAAGCCUGCGCUGCCGCACCACCAGACUCUCAAACAGCUUCAUACUCCAGGCUGUCAGGAUCCUGAACUCGCUUCCCCGUUCUGCGUAGCGUCCUGUACUUUUACUGUCUGUAUGCACACUGGCUUUUAUUCGUUGUGUUAUCUAUUUAUUUAUUGUUACUCUUAUUAUUUAUUGUUUGUGCCUUGUUUUUUUUAUAUUGCGUUGUUUACUUGUAUGUCUAUCGUGUAAUAGGUCUUGUCACCGUGGGAUAGGGAAAAUGUAAUUUCGAUCUCUUUGUGUGUUUCGGCAUGUGAAGAUGUUUUUUUUUACUUUGUCUUUCGGUCGUGGAUGAAAGUGCAGGUAACAUGAUCCAGUAUUAAUAUCCAACAUGCUUGAAUAAGUCCCAAAUUGUUAUUUAGUGAAAUGCCAAGCUCUGAGGAAAACCAUGUGCAAACAAAUAUCCCUGAUUCAUCACUGCCCUAUAAAUCACCAGAUUGUAAAUCUUGCAGAUUUUAUUGCAGUCUUAAAAGUUAACACCACUUUCCUGCAAAAUAACAUUAAAAUAUAAAGUUACAGACGUCACGUGACUAUUCCCACCUAUAUUUGUUUACGCAGCCGCAUUGGCAGUUGAGUAGCGCCAGCACGCCAAGCGCUGAUAAAACGGGCGUUUAUCUGGCAGAAUUCCGUCCAAUUGAAUUAACAUCUCGCUUUGAUGAAAUGAGAUAAACCGGAUUUGGAAAAAAAAAAUUGAAAUUGAGCCGUUUAGACUGACACAAUAAAAAAAUCUGACACUGGUUAGGUCAUUGCUUCUCAAAUAGUGGGGCGCGGCGCCCUUGGGGGGCGUGAUGCUAUACCUGGGGGGGCGCGUGUGACCCUGGGGUACAGGCUUUUUUUUUGGCAGUACUAGAAUAAAGUGUAAUUGCGCAUUUACUACAGCAGGGGGCAGUGGCGCUCUCAUUGUUACUUCUGUCACGUUUACGACAGUGCAACAUUUUACGACUUACAAGACAAGUUAGGGGGGGGCGUAACAGAAAAUAAUUGAGAAGCACUGCGCGCCCCACUAUUUGAGAAGCACUGGCCUAGGUGACUGAUUCACAAUUUGGUUUUGUCUGAUAUCAGAUAUUAAAUAAAGAAAGCCAACUGGCUGAUUGAUUUGUUUUAAUUGAGAGGGAAAAAAAACAGCAAAAGCAUUUCACUAGCUGACCAGGAGAUGGCGACAGCGUGGCAUCUGAAGACCAUGGAUUGUUUGUUCUGCUAUAGCCUAGGUGACUGAUUCACAAUUUGGUUUUGUCUGAUAAUAGAUAUUAAAUAAAGAAAACCAA